GAUUAACGCUGGCGGCGUGCAUAACACAUGCAAGUCGAACGAUGAAACUUAGUAGACUUCUUCGAAAAGACACUAAGCGGAUUAGUGGCGAACGGGUGAGUAACGCGUGAGUAACCUGCCUUACACAAGGGGAUAGCCUUUGGAAACGAAGAAUAAUACCCUAUAAAACCAUAAAAGCACAUGCUAGAAUGGUCAAAGUGAUAGCGGUGUAAGAUGGACUUGCGUCUGAUUAGCUAGUUGGUGAGAUAAAAGCUCACCAAGGCAACGAUCAGUAGCCGGCUUGAGAGAGUGUACGGCCACAUUGGGACUGAGACACGGCCCAGACUCCUACGGGAGGCAGCAGUGGGGAAUUUUGCACAAUGGGGGAAACCCUGAUGCAGCGACGCCGCGUGAUUUAGAAGGCCUUCGGGUUGUAAAAAUCUUUUGUAUAGGAAGAAAAUGACAGUACUAUACGAAUAAGGUCCUGCUAAUUACGUG
This 477-nucleotide ribosomal RNA is filed under the name uncultured bacterium. Its description in RNAcentral is "partial 16S ribosomal RNA". It matches the Rfam family "Bacterial small subunit ribosomal RNA", at positions 28 to 507 of the family's 1533-position model. The record is from RNAcentral.